CCCGGGUCUUGUACACAUCGCCCGUCACACCACGAAAGUCGGCAACACCCGAAGCCGGUGGCCUAACCCGCAAGGGAGGGAGCCGUCGAAGGUGGGGCUGGCGAUUGGGGUG
Molecule: ribosomal RNA, 112 nt
Filed under: uncultured bacterium
Lineage: Bacteria
Description: partial 16S ribosomal RNA
Rfam family: Bacterial small subunit ribosomal RNA
Source: RNAcentral